This 468-nucleotide ribosomal RNA is filed under the name uncultured bacterium. RNAcentral describes it as "partial 16S ribosomal RNA". It matches the Rfam family "Bacterial small subunit ribosomal RNA", at positions 28 to 507 of the family's 1533-position model. The record is from RNAcentral.
GACGAACGCUGGCGGCGUGCUUAACACAUGCAAGUCGAACGGAAAGGCCCUGCUUUUGUGGGGUGCUCGAGUGGCGAACGGGUGAGUAACACGGGAGUAACCUGCCCUGGACUUUGUGAUAACUUCAGGAAACUGGGGCUAAUACCGGAUAGGAGCUCCUGCUGCAUGGUGGGGGUUGGAAAGUUUCGGCGGUUGGGGAUGGACUCGCGGCUUAUCAGCUUGUUGGUGGGGUAGUGGCUUACCAAGGCUUUGACGGGUAGCCGGCCUGGGAGGGUGACCGGCCACAUUGGGACUGAGAUACGGACCAGACUCCUACGGGAGGCAGCAGUGGGGAAUAUUGCACAAUGGGCGGAAGCCUGAUGCAGCAACGCCGCGUGCGGGAUGACGGCCUUCGGGUUGUAAACCGCUUUCGCCUGUGACGAAGCGUGAGUGACGGUAAUGGGUAAAGAAGCACCGGCUAACUACGUG